This 730-nucleotide small RNA is filed under the name Pongo abelii (Sumatran orangutan). Its description in RNAcentral is "retained intron". The record is from RNAcentral. Lineage: Eukaryota; Metazoa; Chordata; Mammalia; Primates; Hominidae.
CAGAACCCGGUCAUCACGGCCAUCAGUCCCCGCCGCAGCCCUGUCAGGUGAGACUGGCACCCCGCCCUUCCCCCAGGCUCUCUGGGGCUGCAGGUGGACUGAUAGGUUUUGCCGUCCCCUGCAGUGGCGGCAGGACCAUCACGGUGGCUGGUGAGCGUUUCCACAUGGUGCAGAAUGUGUCCAUGGCCGUCCACCACAUUGGCCGGGAGCCCACGCUCUGCAAGGUUCUCAACUCCACCCUCAUCACCUGCCCGUCCCCCGGGGCCCUGAGCAAUGCAUCAGCGCCAGUGGACUUCUUCAUCAAUGGGCGGGCCUACGCAGACGAGGUCGCCGUGGCUGAGGAGCUACUGGACCCCGAGGAGGCACAGCGGGGCAGCAGGUUCCGCCUGGACUACCUCCCCAACCCACAGUUCUCUACGGCCAAGAGGGAGAAGUGGAUCAAGCACCACCCCGGGGAGCCUCUCACCCUCGUUAUCCACAAGGAGCAGGACAGCCUGGGGCUCCAGAGUCACGAGUACCGGGUCAAGAUAGGCCAAGUGAGCUGCGACAUCCAAAUUGUCUCUGACAGAAUCAUCCACUGCUCGGUCAACGAGUCCCUGGGCGCUGCUGAGGGGCAGCUGCCCAUCACAGUGAGUGGAUGGGGUGCCGGAGCAGGGCAGACCCGGCCCCACCCCUGGCCCAUCUGCCAAGCAUCUGCCCUCACCCAGCACCUGAAUUCACUGAGCGUUUU